CCUAGGGUGGCUGCAGUGGGGAAUAUUGGACAAUGGGCGAAAGCCUGAUCCAGCCAUGCCGCGUGUGUGAAGAAGGCCUUCGGGUUGUAAAGCACUUUCAGUGGGGAAGAAAGCCUUGGGGCUAAUACCCUCGAGGAAGGACAUCACCCACAGAAGAAGCACCGGCUAACUCCGUGCCAGCAGCCGCGGUAAUACGGAGGGUGCGAGCGUUAAUCGGAAUUACUGGGCGUAAAGCGCGCGUAGGCGGUCUGAUAAGCCGGUUGUGAAAGCCCCGGGCUCAACCUGGGAACGGCAUCCGGAACUGUCAGGCUAGAGUGCAGGAGAGGAAGGUAGAAUUCCCGGUGUAGCGGUGAAAUGCGUAGAGAUCGGGAGGAAUACCAGUGGCGAAGGCGGCCUUCUGGACUGACACUGACGCUGAGGUGCGAAAGCGUGGGUAGCAAACAGGAUUAGAUACCCCGGUAGUC
RNAcentral lists this ribosomal RNA (464 nucleotides) under Vreelandella stevensii. Its description in RNAcentral is "partial 16S ribosomal RNA". It matches the Rfam family "Bacterial small subunit ribosomal RNA", at positions 338 to 795 of the family's 1533-position model. The record is from RNAcentral. Lineage: Bacteria; Pseudomonadati; Pseudomonadota; Gammaproteobacteria; Oceanospirillales; Halomonadaceae.